Molecule: unclassified non-coding RNA, 254 nt
Filed under: plant metagenome
Description: partial contains small subunit ribosomal RNA, internal transcribed spacer 1, and 5.8S ribosomal RNA
Source: RNAcentral
UUUCCGUAGGUGAACCUGCGGAAGGAUCAUUAAAGAGUAAGGGUCCUCUAGGCCCGACCUCCCAACCCUUUGUUUACCAAACCAAUGUUGCUUCGGCGGGCCCGUCUUAGGACCGCCGGAGGACCGUCGAAACGUCCUCCGGCCCGCGCCCGUCGAUGGCCCUUAUUAUUAAACUCUAAACCAAACGUGUCCUGUCUGAGUGAUUAUUAUCAAAAUUAAAGCAAAAACUUUCAACAACGGAUCUCUUGGUUCUG